AGAGUUUGAUCAUGGCUCAGAACGAACGUUGGCGGCGUGGAUUAGGCAUGCAAGUCGAACGAGAACCACUGGGUAACUGGUGGGGAAAGUGGCGAAAGGGGCAGUAAUGCAUGGGUAACCUACCCUGGGGACUGGGAUAGCCAUCCUAACGGAUGGGUAAUACUGGGCGAUGUAAGCGAGGCGCCUGUCUUGCUUACCAAAUGAAUUUCGCCCUGGGAGGGGCUCAUGUGAUAUUAGCUUGUUGGUGAGGUAACGGCUCACCAAGGCAAAGAUGUCUAGCGGGUGUGAGAGCACGACCCGCGCCACUGGCACUGAGACACUGGCCAGACUCCUACGGGAGGCUGCAGUCGAGGAUCUUCGGCAAUGGGCGCAAGCCUGACCGAGCGACGCCGCGUGUGCGAAGAAGGCCUUCGGGUUGUAAAGCACUGUCGAGGGGGAGGAAGCUCCGCAAGGGGUUGACCUAUCCCUGGAGGAAGCACGGGCUAAGUUCGUGCCAGCAGCCGCGGUAAGACGAACCGUGCGAACGUUGUUCGGAAUCACUGGGCUUAAAGGGCGCGUAGGCGGUCGAUCAAGUCCGGGGUGAAAUCUUUCGGCUUAACCGGAAAAGUGCCUUGGAUACUGAUUGGCUGGAGGGAGGUAGGGGGAGCUGGAACUUCCAGUGGAGCGGUGAAAUGCGUUGAUAUUGGAAGGAACUCCGGUGGCGAAAGCGAGCUCCUGGACCUCUUCUGACGCUGAUGCGCGAAAGCUAGGGGAGCAAACGGGAUUAGAUACCCUCGUAGUCC
RNAcentral lists this ribosomal RNA (782 nucleotides) under uncultured bacterium. Its description in RNAcentral is "bacterial SSU rRNA". It matches the Rfam family "Bacterial small subunit ribosomal RNA", at positions 8 to 796 of the family's 1533-position model. The record is from RNAcentral.